This 465-nucleotide ribosomal RNA is filed under the name uncultured bacterium. RNAcentral describes it as "bacterial SSU rRNA". It matches the Rfam family "Bacterial small subunit ribosomal RNA", at positions 28 to 532 of the family's 1533-position model. The record is from RNAcentral.
GAUAAACGCUGGCGGCGUGCCUAACACAUGCAAGUCGAACGAUCCCGCAAGGGAGAGUGGCGGAAGGGUGAGUAACACGUGGGAAUCUACCUCCUCGCAGGGAACAACCUCUCGAAAGAGAGGCUAAUACCCAAAAGGGUCAGAAAUGAUCAGAGUCGAAAGGCGUGAGGAGAGGAGCCCGCGGCCCAUCAGCUAGUUGGUGAGGUAAUGGCUUACCAAGGCUACGACGGGUAGGGGAUCUGAGAGGAUGUCCCCCACACUGGAACUGAAACACGGUCCAGACGCCUACGGGUGGCAGCAGUGAGGAAUAUUGGACAAUGGGCGAAAGCCCGAUCCAGCAACGCCGCGUGGAGGAUGAAGGCCUUCGGUCGUAAACUUCUUUAGAGGGAGACGAGAAAGGACGGUAGUCCCUAGAAUAAGCGACGGCGAAACUACGUGCCAGCAGCCGCGGUAAGUCUCGCGUGA